Molecule: long non-coding RNA, 2714 nt
Organism: Macaca fascicularis (crab-eating macaque)
Lineage: Eukaryota; Metazoa; Chordata; Mammalia; Primates; Cercopithecidae
Source: Ensembl
UUUUUUUUUUUUUUUUUUUUUAGAGUCGCGGUACACUUAUAAUAAUCAUAAAAUAAUAGAAUUGUAGCAACUUUUUGUCCUGCCUCAGUGACUUGAUAUAUACACUGCAAACAGUCCUCAGUCUGAGGAAGGUCAGUUGAAGUCCUUACUGUACAAAUCCAAAUUUUAAGGAAAAUGAGUCCCGCAAUGAGUUUCCUCAUGCUUCGGCCGUGCAUGGACCAGUCAGCUUCCGGGUGUGACUGGAGCAGGGCUUGUCGUCUUCUCCAGAGUCACUUUGCAGGGGUUGGCAAAGCUGCUCCCGUCCACGUACCACUCACAGUCUACUGAUGUUCAAGGAUGGUUUCAGAGGUUGGGGCCUGCUAGAAUAAACUGAGUCCAACACAUCUACACAGUUAUGUUCAACUGGGCUCUCUGAUACUGGGAGCAAGGUGGCGGGGUUUAGGGUGUUGCAAACUUCAGUGGUUAUGCAGGGAUUUUCACAUAGCGAUCUUUGAUACUCGGUUAAUCUAUCAUUUGUUAACCAGUGAUGUCCUUUGGUAAUCAUUAAAGUUACCACAGCAUGAGGGGCCUUUAUAUUCAGGUUUUGCCUAAGGGUUAGUUUAUCUGCUUCUUGUACUAACAGGGCCGUUGCUGCCAGGGCCCUUAGACAUGGAGGCCAGCCUUUGGAAACCCCAUCUAGUUGUUUUGAGAGAUAGGCCGCUGGCCUUGGCCAGGGCCCCAUAGUCUGGGUUAAAACUCCAGCUGCCAUUUUUCUUCUUUCUGAUGUAUAGGGUGUAAAGGGUUUUGUCAGGUCAGGUAGCCCCAGGGCUGGGGCCGACUUGAGUUUUUCUUUUAACUCAUGAAAAGCUCAUUGCUGUUGGUUGUAAUAGAUAUAGUUUAUCCAAUUUACAUUUUUAUUAACUGUCACUCACCAAAAUACUGACUCAAAUCCUAGAGCUAUUUAAUUUCAAGCUUUAAAUUGAUCUGGUAUUCCCCGUGGGACUCUAAUUGUGUCUAAACGGACGUGAGAGUUGAAAGACCAAUAAGAGGCUUUUCUUGCUUUACGACAUCUUAUUUUUCCUCCCUCUGGUUGAUGAAAUGCCAGGGUGAAAGGGAUAGCCAACUGGACUAAAGUACAAGUGCCACUCCAGUUAUUUGGCAGAGUGCCCAGUCAAGGUCCACCACAAUACCACCACACAUCCGCUUGGGGAUGAACAAGGGCUGACUGAUUGAUAAGCUCUUGAAAAUUUUUAAGCUCACCGUAUCCCUUCAAGUCUCCAAGGAAUGCUAAGUUUCCUCCCUGUCGUGAGAGACAUGAAGUGAACUUAGUGUUGGGAGACAGAGGCUGGAUGGCCCUUGGGGGUUGACCCGCAGGGUGCUGGACUUUGGGAUACAGCAGAGAGAGGCUGGCACGACUUAUUACUCCAGGCUGUAGAAUCCUGCAAAAGAGCUACCAUGCAGCCCAUGCCUGGUCGACUGGAGGACCACCAUAGUGGAAAGGGGACAAUCUGGGCCUAAUUUUUAAAUCUCUUUAAGGAUGUUAUCAUUAGGAUAAACUGAGUAAAAGGCACACAGGAUUUUUCUGUGGCAUUUUAUACAAACGUAUGUGAAUUUACAGUGAUUUCAAAAUAAAAAGUUUUGAAGAAAUAAAUGUUUUAAUUAUGAGAUGUAAAAAAUCUCUUUAAGAGAUGCACAAAGAAGAAAAAAUGAGAAGAAAAAGGCUUACACUAAAAAUUAGAACUUGGGAGGAGCUGUGGAUCACAACCAUGAGUUCAGAUUUUGAGAUGAUUUACCCAAAGUCAUAUUCAUGUGAGAGAUGAACACAGCUUCUUCAUUCUGAGGUUGCUCAAGUUGUCAACAGAAACCUGCUGCCAGUGAUGACUCAAAACGUUCCCCAAGAUUUGAAGGAAUCCCACAAUCCUCAGCAACAAACCACAGCUUGAGGUCUUUCCCCAAAAGCUCAUGGUGGCAGUUCCUGCCGAGAGUCAAGUCAAUCUGCAACCAUUCCAAAUCUCCCAGCCGUACUUUCCACCAAUAAAGAAGAUCAACCCAGGACAAGUGGCCUUGCCAAAUGAGAGACUGGUGAACCACAAAAACACUUCCCAAAAAAUCCACAGGGUCACAAAGUGGCAGAGCUGUCCAUGACAGUUGAUGAAGUUCCUCUUUUGGGUUCCACAUAUGCCUGACAGACUUCCUCCCUUUGGUUCAGCAGCCUCAGCUCCAUUAACCAGAGGUGGGCACCACUAUGGACUAAGUGGGGUGGGGCAUUCUGGCAGGAAGCAAAUGGGUAAACAGUCAAAGAGAGUUUGUACUUCAGUUUGGAAAAAAGGCCUCUGGACACCCAUCUAGAAGCCAGAACUUGAUUUUCAUCAGAAGACUUGAGUUUCAUCUCUGCUCAGUUAUUGUGGAAACUUACAAAAAUUCUUUAACAUGUUUCCCCAUCUCUGUUGGUGAUAAUAAUACCUCUCAAUAAAUAUUAAGAUGACACCUCUCAAGAAAUAUUAAAAUGCAGUGAGGUCAUGGAUAUUCAAAAACUGGAUUUUUCCUUUUCCUUAAGUCAGUGUUUCCCAAGGUGUAGCCUACAAACUAUUAAUGGUACAUAAGAAAACUGUAGACUAAAAUAGACUUUUAAAUUUUAAUCCUUAUAAACUUGACUUAAAGGAUAUUAGAAAAAAAACAUAACUAGCUUAUCUACCUUGCUAAGAUUAGGUUAAGUUUAAAACUGAGUCAAAAUA